UGGGGAAUAUUGGACAAUGGGGGGAACCCUGAUCCAGUCAUGCCGCGUGUGUGAAGAAGGCCUUAUGGUUGUAAAGCACUUUAAGCGAGGAGGAGGGUACUGGUAUUAAUACUACCAGCUACUGGACGUUACUCGCAGAAUAAGCACCGGCUAACUCUGUGCCAGCAGCCGCGGUAAUACAGAGGGUGCGAGCGUUAAUCGGAUUUACUGGGCGUAAAGCGUGCGUAGGCGGCUAAUUGAGUCGGAUGUGAAAUCCCCGAGCUUAACUUGGGAAUUGCAUUCGAUACUGGUUAGCUAGAGAGUGGGAGAGGAUGGUAGAGUUCCAGGUGUAGCGGUGAAAUGCGUAGAGAUCUGGAGGAAUACCGAUGGCGAAGGCAGCCAUCUGGCCUAACACUGACGCUGAGGUACGAAAGCAUGGGGAGCAAACAGG
This 430-nucleotide ribosomal RNA is filed under the name Pseudomonadota bacterium. RNAcentral describes it as "Proteobacteria bacterium partial 16S ribosomal RNA". It matches the Rfam family "Bacterial small subunit ribosomal RNA", at positions 355 to 776 of the family's 1533-position model. Lineage: Bacteria; Pseudomonadati; Pseudomonadota. The record is from RNAcentral.